This 65-nucleotide transfer RNA is filed under the name Sminthurides bifidus. Its description in RNAcentral is "tRNA-Ile". The record is from RNAcentral. Lineage: Eukaryota; Metazoa; Arthropoda; Collembola; Symphypleona; Sminthurididae.
AAGAGUGUGCCUGAAUAAAAGGGUUAUUUUGAUAGAAUAAAUCAUACAAGUAACUGUCUCUCUUU